RNAcentral lists this non-coding RNA (28 nucleotides) under Bombyx mori (domestic silkworm). The record is from RNAcentral. Lineage: Eukaryota; Metazoa; Arthropoda; Insecta; Lepidoptera; Bombycidae.
UCAUGCGUUGCGUACUAUUAAACAGCUG